RNAcentral lists this ribosomal RNA (1736 nucleotides) under human gut metagenome. RNAcentral's name for it is "bacterial LSU rRNA". It matches the Rfam family "Bacterial large subunit ribosomal RNA", at positions 640 to 2398 of the family's 2925-position model. The record is from RNAcentral.
GCAAGGUUAAGCACUUCAGGUGCGGAGCCGUAGGGAAACCAAGUCUUAAGAGGGCGUUUUAGUCAGUACGUGCAGGCCCGAAACCGGGUGACCUAUCCAUGUCCAGGUUGAAGCCGCCGUAAAAGGCGAUGGAGGACCGAACCCACAUCCGUUGAAAAGGGUGGGGAUGAGGUGUGGAUAGCGGAGAAAUUCCAAUCGAACCCGGAGAUAGCUGGUUCUCCUCGAAAUAGCUUUAGGGCUAGCCUCAUACAAGUCUUGCGGAGGUAGAGCACUGAAUUUCCUAGGGGGCGUCAAAGCUUACCGAAGAAUAUCAAACUCCGAAUGCCGUGUAGAUGUUGUAUGGGAGUCAGACUGUACGAGAUAAGUUGGACAGUCAAAAGGGAAAGAGCCCAGACCGCCGGCUAAGGUCCCAAAGUGGGUGUUAAGUGGAAAAGGAUGUGGGAUCUCUAAGACAACCAGGAUGUUGGCUCAGAAGCAGCCAUUCAUUAAAAGAGUGCGUAACAGCUCACUGGUCGAGAGGUCCUGCGCCGAAAAUGUCCGGGGCUGAAACACCACACCGAAGCCGCGGAACCCGUAAGGGUUGGUAGAGGAGCAUUCUUAGGGGAGCGAAGCAUUACCGGAAGGGGAUGUGGACUGCUAAGAAGAGAGAAUGCCGGAAUGAGUAGCGAGAGCAAGGUGAGAAUCCUUGCGGCCGAAUAUCCAAGGUUUCCAGAGUAAAGCUGAUCUGCUCUGGGUAAGUCGGGGCCUAAGGAGAGGCAGAGAUGCGUAUCCGAUGGACAGCAGGUUUAAGAUUCCUGCACCCCUUGUUAUCAGAACUGCGGGGACACGGGAAGGGAAGCAGAGCCGGGAAUGGAAAGCCCGGUGCAAGCGAAGGAGUCGCAGGGUUGGAAAAUCCGCCCUGCAUGAGACGAAGGCGUGAUGCGGAGCGAAAUGAAGUAGUGAAGCUGCGGCCCCUUCCUGUCGAGAAAAGCCGCUAUCGUGUAGCAAGGGCCCGUACCGUAAACCGACACAGGUGGAUGAGGAGAGGAUCCUAAGGCCGGCGGGAGAAGUGUUGUUAAGGAACUCGGCAAAAUGACUCCGUAACUUCGGGAGAAGGAGUGCUGCGCAAGCAGCCGCAGAGAAAUGGCCCAAGCAACUGUUUAGCAAAAACACAGGUCUAUGCGAAACCGAAAGGUGAGGUAUAUGGGCUGACGCCUGCCCGGUGCUGGAAGGUUAAGGGGAGAGGUUAGCCGCAAGGCGAAGCUUUGAACUUAAGCCCCAGUAAACGGCGGCCGUAACUAUAACGGUCCUAAGGUAGCGAAAUUCCUUGUCGGGUAAGUUCCGACCCGCACGAAAGGCGUAAUGAUUUGAGCGCUGUCUCGACAAUGCAUCCGGUGAAAUUGAAGUACCAGUGAAGAUGCUGGUUACCCGCGCCAGGACGGAAAGACCCCAUGGAGCUUUACUCCAGCCUGAUACUGGGAUUCGGUAUUGCAUGUACAGGAUAGGUGGGAGGCUAAGAACUCAUGGCGCCAGCCGUGAGGGAGCCGGUGUUGGGAUACCACCCCUGCAGUACUGGGUUUCUAACCUGCGCCCGUGACCCGGGCGGGGGACAAUGUCAGGCGGGGAGUUUGACUGGGGCGGUCGCCUCCGAAAGGGUAUCGGAGGCGCUCAAAGGUUCCCUCAGAAUGGUUGGAAACCAUUCGAAGAGUGCAAAGGCAGAAGGGAGCUUGACUGCGACACCGACGGGUGGAGCAGGU